CAGUCGCCGCGGGAAUACGAAGGGGGCUAGCGUUGUUCGGAAUUACUGGGCGUAAAGCGCACGUAGGCGGAUAUUUAAGUCAGGGGUGAAAUCCCAGAGCUCAACUCUGGAACUGCCUUUGAUACUGGGUAUCUUGAGUAUGGAAGAGGUGAGUGGAAUUCCGAGUGUAGAGGUGAAAUUCGUAGAUAUUCGGAGGAACACCAGUGGCGAAGGCGGCUCACUGGUCCAUUACUGACGCUGAGGUGCGAAAGCGUGGGGAGCAAACAGGAUUAGAUACCCCGGUAGUCCCUGUCUCUUAUAC
Molecule: ribosomal RNA, 301 nt
Filed under: uncultured bacterium
Lineage: Bacteria
Description: partial 16S ribosomal RNA
Rfam family: Bacterial small subunit ribosomal RNA
Source: RNAcentral